RNAcentral lists this ribosomal RNA (451 nucleotides) under uncultured bacterium. RNAcentral describes it as "partial 16S ribosomal RNA". It matches the Rfam family "Bacterial small subunit ribosomal RNA", at positions 29 to 523 of the family's 1533-position model. The record is from RNAcentral.
AGCGAACGCUGGCGGCAGGCCUAACACAUGCAAGUCGAGCGCCCGUAGCAAUACGGGAGCGGCAGACGGGUGAGUAACACGUGGGAACGUGCCCUUUGGUUCGGAAUAACUCAGGGAAACUUGAGCUCAUACCGGAUAAGUCCUUACGGGGACAGAUUUAUCGCCCAAGGAUGGGCCCGCGUAAGAUUAGCUUGUUGGUGGGGUAAUGGCCUACCAAGGCGACGAGCUUUAGCUGGUCUGAGAGGAUGAUCAGCCACACUGGGACUGAGACACGGCCCAGACUCCUACGGGAGGCAGCAGUGGGGAAUAUUGGACAAUGGGCGAAAGCCUGAUCCAGCAAUGCCGCGUGAGUGAUGAAGGCCUUAGGGUUGUAAAGCUCUUUUACCAGGGAUGAUAAUGACAGUACCUGGAGAAUAAGCUCCGGCUAACUCCGUGCCAGCCGCCGCCGUAA